GCAGAGUGCUGAAAGUGCGCAAAAAAACGUCUGUCCUUGGUUGAAACACUCGAGUUCCUCUGGAAGCAACGUCAGCCCUGUUCGUCAGGAGCUUCAUGAAAUGGGUUUCCGUGGACGAGCAGCCGUACAUAAGCUUAACAUCACAAUACCAAGUAUCUGCUGGAAUGGUGUGACGUUUGCCACCAUUGGACUCUGGUGCAGUGGAAAUGCAUUCUCUGGAGUUAUGAAUCACGCUUCACCAUCUGGCAGUUUGAUGGACAAAUCUGCGUUUGGCGGAUGCCAGGAGAAUGCUACCUGCCACAAUGCAUAGUGCCAACUAUAAAAUUUGGUGGAGGAGGAAUAAUGGUCUGUGGCUGGUUUUCAUGGUUUGGGCUAGGCCUCUUAGUUCCAGUGAAGGGAAAUCGUAUCACCUUACAAUGGUAUUCUAGACGAUUCUAUGCUUCCAACUUUGUGGUAGGCCCUUUCCUGUUUCAGCAUGACAAUGCCACCAUGCACAAAGUGAGGUCCAUACAGAAAAAGAACUUGACUGGCCUGCACAGAGCCCUGACCUCAACCCCAUCGAACACCUUUGGGAUGAACUGGAACGCUGACUGCGAGCCAGGCCUAAUCGCCCAACCUCACUAAUGCUCGUGACAAUGUAAUAAAGUCCCGCAAGCAAUACUCCAACAUCUAGUGGAAAGUUGUCCCCGUAGUAGAGGCUGUGAAAGCAUCAAAAUGGAGAACCAACUCCAUAUUGUUGCCCAUGAUUUUGGAAUGAGAUUUUUGAUGAGCAGGUGUACAUACUUUUGGUCAUGUAGUGUACACUGGAGUUGUUUACCAAGCUGACAUUACAGUUUUGACUGCAAAUUGGCUUGAAAAUCUAUGGCAAGACUUAAAUGGCUGUCUCGCAAUGAUCCACAACCAACUUAACAGAGCUUGAAGAUUUAAAAAUAAAAAAUAAAAAAAAUAUUUAAAAAAAUGGUUGUGCAAAGCUCUUAGAGACUCAACACUGUAAUCGCUGCCAAAAGUGAUUCUAACAUGUAUUGACUCGGGGUUUGAAUAGUAUUUUGUGUAGAACGUUCCAUUUUAAUCCCGAUUUGUAACAAAUUGUGGGAAAAGUAAAAGGGGUGUGAAUACCUUGAAGGAACUGUAUAUCCUUGCCAUUCAUCCAAUCAUACAACAGUUAUAUGUCUGUGGUAUCGCAUCCAGACAACUAAACAUCUAAUUUAUGUUUUCUAUAUGAAGUUCAUCAGAAC
Molecule: long non-coding RNA, 1235 nt
Organism: Oncorhynchus tshawytscha (Chinook salmon)
Lineage: Eukaryota; Metazoa; Chordata; Actinopteri; Salmoniformes; Salmonidae
Source: Ensembl